UGCAAGUCGAGCGGACAGAUGGGAGCUUGCUCCCUGAUGUUAGCGGCGGACGGGUGAGUAACACGUGGGUAACCUGCCUGUAAGACUGGGAUAACUCCGGGAAACCGGGGCUAAUACCGGAUGGUUGUUUGAACCGCAUGGUUCAAACAUAAAAGGUGGCUUCGGCUACCACUUACAGAUGGACCCGCGGCGCAUUAGCUAGUUGGUGAGGUAACGGCUCACCAAGGCAACGAUGCGUAGCCGACCUGAGAGGGUGAUCGGCCACACUGGGACUGAGACACGGCCCAGACUCCUACGGGAGGCAGCAGUAGGGAAUCUUCCGCAAUGGACGAAAGUCUGACGGAGCAACGCCGCGUGAGUGAUGAAGGUUUUCGGAUCGUAAAGCUCUGUUGUUAGGGAAGAACAAGUACCGUUCGAAUAGGGCGGUACCUUGACGGUACCUAACCAGAAAGCCACGGCUAACUACGUGCCAGCAGCCGCGGUAAUACGUAGGUGGCAAGCGUUGUCCGGAAUUAUUGGGCGUAAAGGGCUCGCAGGCGGUUUCUUAAGUCUGAUGUGAAAGCCCCCGGCUCAACCGGGGAGGGUCAUUGGAAACUGGGGAACUUGAGUGCAGAAGAGGAGAGUGGAAUUCCACGUGUAGCGGUGAAAUGCGUAGAGAUGUGGAGGAACACCAGUGGCGAAGGCGACUCUCUGGUCUGUAACUGACGCUGAGGAGCGAAAGCGUGGGGAGCGAACAGGAUUAGAUACCCUGGUAGUCCACGCCGUAAACGAUGAGUGCUAAGUGUUAGGGGGUUUCCGCCCCUUAGUGCUGCAGCUAACGCAUUAAGCACUCCGCCUGGGGAGUACGGUCGCAAGACUGAAACUCAAAGGAAUUGACGGGGGCCCGCACAAGCGGUGGAGCAUGUGGUUUAUUUCGAACAACGCGAAGAACCUUACCAGGUCUUGACAUCCUCUGACAAUCCAAGAUA
RNAcentral lists this ribosomal RNA (968 nucleotides) under uncultured Caryophanales bacterium. RNAcentral describes it as "bacterial SSU rRNA". It matches the Rfam family "Bacterial small subunit ribosomal RNA", at positions 56 to 1006 of the family's 1533-position model. Lineage: Bacteria; Bacillati; Bacillota; Bacilli; Caryophanales. The record is from RNAcentral.